ACUUCGAAUGAAUUAUUGCUGGGGGUUUACAGGCGAGAUAUCAUUUUACUUUCCUCUUGCACUACAUUUUAUUUUUCCAAUUAUCAACGACACCUUGAGACUUUAUCGUUGGAAACGAGCUCGAGACUUUAUUUCGUAUUCUUUACUAUACUAACAACUUAUUUUAUUUAAUACGUUAUUCGCUCGCGUCGCGCCGUCUUGCGAGAGGAUGGUGACAACAUAGAAAUUCCCCGCGGACUGCGAAUCUGUCAGAGUACAAUUCUUCAUUUUUUUCGUGGAAAUAAAUCUAUGACGAAAGGUUAAUAUGAGAAACUGGGGAAAAACGGGGUUUUCCUUACUCUCUCGAACACCAACGAAUGUAUUGUUGAGGCAUGGAGGAGCUCUCCUCAAAAACUGGUGGGGGUUCUCUUUUACUACGCUUCAAUCCAACGCACCUCGGUUGCCUCGAGUUCUGUCAAAAAGCAGUCCAAAAAUAUGGAAUUUCCUGGAAGAAUAUAAUAAAACGCAGGAAGAAUGGAAAAACAGACAAUUUCCGCAAAUUUUGAAGCCCCCGUUUCGCUCGGAUCUCCUCUAUAUAUCGACAAAAUAGUGAAACUGAAGUUGCUAUAUCGUUACGAGUUUGUAUAAUUUUUGCUUCUUGCCUAACGUCAUUAAGAAAAUUUCAAGUCAAAUCUAGACAAAAACUAUUUGAGGGUCACCGCUUAAAAAAUGUACACGAAAUCAUAAACUCGGAAAGUCAACGGAUCAUUCGUGGAAAAAUGCUAACGCGGAGGAAGUGUAACUGGCAAGUAGAACGGUGGUGAUGGAGACUCGGUAGAGUCUCGGGACAGUUACAUCGACAGCCCUGUCGUUUGCCGGCCCAAACUAUACUUGUUCGUAUCCCGUAUUUUUGUUGUGUAUUAUUUCUUAUCUAUGUUCGUGUAUUUAUUCAAAGAAGCUUAAAUGUUCAUACAAUUACACGAUUAACUGUAAAAAUUCACGUUUAGAUUUUAUUAGCAUCAGCAGGUCCCAAUAACACAGUUUUAGUCCAAUUGAAUUUCGACCAAAUUGUCGACAUAAAUAACCUCUAUAUUUUCACGUCAUGGAGAAUUAUAUUUGUUUCUUUGUAAAGAACGUGAGUUGUGAUUUUCACAGAUAUUUACCACUCGGGAUUCACGAGUUAACGAUAUAAACAACUGACAGGGCUCGAGAAUAUAUACCGAGUUCCGAAGUUUCUCGCGAGGGCUGCGCCACAUGAGUUGUACAGUGAACGUAUAUAAAAAAACCUUGUAUUUAUCAUCAUUUUUUUCCGUUGCCCAUAAAAUUGUUUUUACAGAGAUAAAGAGGCUCGAUAUCGCAUGAAUCCCUUAGUUUUUUCGUAGUGAUUAGAGUAACAUGCAGUGCAUUUAGUUUCAUGGAAAUCGAACUGAUGUAUUAGACAUCGGGAAUAACGUUUCAUUGAAAAUUUCAUUCGAUUCGAAAUUCGAUGAACAAUAACCUCAAAAAUGCUCCUCGUUAUGCUGAUUGCAUUAUUCAUUCAAAUAAAAUCCAAUCGAGAUGCCGUCGAAAUUCUAAUAAGUAAUAAAAUUGAAAAGUAAUGAUAGUGUGCAGUGAAUUAUGUUAUCCAAUAUGUUUAUAAUGGUGCGAAUAAAUUUUGUGCAUGACAAAAUGA
Venturia canescens is the source of this 1651-nucleotide long non-coding RNA. RefSeq lists it as uncharacterized. The record is from RefSeq and is a predicted model, not a curated record. NCBI's taxonomy places the organism in Eukaryota, Metazoa, Arthropoda, Insecta, Hymenoptera, Ichneumonidae. The transcript is spliced from 2 exons.